RNAcentral lists this ribosomal RNA (406 nucleotides) under uncultured bacterium. Its description in RNAcentral is "partial 16S ribosomal RNA". It matches the Rfam family "Bacterial small subunit ribosomal RNA", at positions 30 to 526 of the family's 1533-position model. The record is from RNAcentral.
AUUGAACGCUGGCGGCAGGCCUAACACAUGCAAGUCGAACGAGUGGCGGACGGGUGAGUAAUGUCUGGGACACUGCCUGAUGGAGGGGGAUAACUACUGGAAACGGUAGCUAAUACCACAUACCAUCAGAUGUGCCCAGAUGGGAUUAGCUUGUUGGGGGUGUAACGGCGCACCAAGGCGAUGAUCUCUAGCUGGUCUGAGAGGAUGACCAGCCACACUGGAACUGAGACACGGUCCAGAUUCCUACGGGAGGCAGCAGUGGGGAAUAUUGCACAAUGGGCGCAAGCCUGAUGCAGCCAUGCCGCGUGGAUGAAGAAGGCCUUCGGGUUGUAAAGGACUUGCAGCGGGGAGGCGUUACCCGCAGAAGAAGCACCGGCUAACUCCGUGCCAGCAGCCGCGGUAAUAC